AGGGCAACCCGCCAAGAACGAGGGCUCCUUCCUGCUCCCUCCUGCGUGCACUGUGGGAGAAGGUGAGGGACUGAGGAGAGGAGGAGACGGUGCUGUCAGUGGCGACGAGCGUCUGCAGCGGCGGCGGCGGCCAUGAGCUGGAGGAAAGCCGGAGGGGAUGGAGGCGUGUCCAAGCGGUGGGCCGUGCUCCUCUGCCUCGGGAGCUUCUGCCUCGGCCUGCUCUUCACCAACAGAAUGUGGACACUGCCUGAGGCAACUGAGGUUCCAUUACCGAAUCAAAGCGUUGAGGAAGGCAAAGCUCUAGUUGCUGCAGAUUGUGGUUCAAAAAAGGUUCAAGAACUGCAAAAAUACAAAGAUGUGUUACCAGACCAAGAUACUCAUCAUGAUGUACAGACACUAGAUAAGACAAUAGCGACCUUAGAGACAGAACUCUCGGCUGCUAGAACCCUGCAAGAGUCAUUGCUCAACGGUUCCCCUGUUUCAGAAGACUUCAAAGUUUCUGAGUCGAUUGGGAGGAGAAAGUACCGUAUGGUGAUUGGCAUCAAUACCGCUUUUAGCAGUCGCAAGAGAAGAGAUUCCAUACGUUACACCUGGAUGCCUCGAGGUGAGAAAAGGAAACAACUUGAAGAACAGAAGGGGGUCAUAAUUCGGUUUGUCAUCGGUCACAGUGCUAUAGCAGGCGGAAUUAUUGAUAGAGCAAUUGAAGCAGAGGACAGGAAACAUGGGGAUUUCAUGAAGAUAGAUCAUGUCGAAGGAUACCUUGCCCUAUCUGGCAAAACUAAGACAUACUUUGCUACAGCUGUUUCAUUAUGGGAUGCAGAUUUUUAUGUGAAAGUUGAUGACGACGUGCAUGUGAACAUAGCAACGCUUGGACAGAUAUUGUCCAAACAGGCAUGGAAGCCAAGAGUAUAUAUGGGCUGCAUGAAAUCUGGCCCUGUCCUAUCUGAAAAGGGUGUGAGAUACUAUGAGCCUGAGCAUUGGAAGUUCGGCGAACCAGGAAAUAAGUAUUUCCGACAUGCUACCGGUCAAUUAUACGCCAUUUCAAAAGAUCUAGCAACCUACAUAUCAAUAAACAAGCACGUCCUACACAAGUAUAUAAACGAGGACGUUUCGCUAGGAUCUUGGUUCCUCGGGUUAGAUGUCGAGCACAUCGAUGACCGGAGACUCUGUUGCGGUACUCCACCUGACUGCGAAUGGAAAGCUCAGGCAGGGAACACCUGCGCGGCGUCAUUCGACUGGAAGUGCAGCGGCAUAUGCAACUCGGAAGGCAGGAUCUGGGAGGUGCACAAUAAGUGCGCCGAGGGCGAUAAGGCGCUGUGGAAUUCCACUUUCUAGCGUGGUCGGAACCCUGACUGAACCAGAAGAAGCUCUCCUCUCCUUCAUGUUUGUUAGUUGUUGUAUACUAGAUCGCCCCACGGUGCUGUGUAUGUAAUUCAUCCUGUAGGUAUAGCUGUGGUUUUGACUGUGGGACUGGCUGACACCGACGAAGCGGACCACAAUUUUACGUAGCGUCUGUCCGCCGGUGGCGCCGGAGGCGAAGGUGAAGGCGAAGCAGGGUAUACGAGCUGUCGCCGCAUUCUUUUGGUGGAUAAAAUGUUGCAGGUGGCCAUUCUGUACCGAUCUCCUGUGCUGUUUGGCUACCACAGAUGUAUGACCGAAAUAAAACGUCCCUGAAUCCUGCAUUUCAGUGCAUUCUGGACUAGUAUUGUGUUUGUAACAGCUGAGGCUCACUCUAAAUGAAAGGGAAAAUUCAUGAUCUGCCGUUCCAAA
RNAcentral lists this ribosomal RNA (1770 nucleotides) under Triticum aestivum (bread wheat). Its description in RNAcentral is "partial small subunit ribosomal RNA". Lineage: Eukaryota; Viridiplantae; Streptophyta; Magnoliopsida; Poales; Poaceae. The record is from RNAcentral.